This is a long non-coding RNA of Cyprinus carpio carpio, 616 nucleotides long. The record is from Ensembl. Lineage: Eukaryota; Metazoa; Chordata; Actinopteri; Cypriniformes; Cyprinidae.
CUCAAGCCAACGUCUCAUUGACAUCAAAUACUGAUGUUUUGUCGUCAGGUAUGGCAACCAAAAUCCAACAUCUAGUAGACGUCAUUAUGGUAAAGUCCAAUCAACGUCAAGUUAUAACAUCAUUUGAUGUUGAUCUGUAGUUAGUUUUAGGUUGUGGCAUUAACUAACCAAAAUCCAACGUCGAGCCAACGUCUCAAGCCAACGUCACAUUGACAUCAAAAACUUAUGUUUUGUCGUCAGGUAUGGCAACCAUAAUCCAACGUUUUCUAGACGUCAUAAUGGCAACAUCCACACAACGUCAAAUUAAAACAUCAUUUGAUGUUGAUCUGUAGUUAGUUUUAGGUUGUGGCAUUAACUAACCAAAAUCCAACGUCGCGCCAACGUCUCAAGCCAACGUCACAUUGACAUCAAAUACUGAUACUUAGUCGUCAGGUAUGGCAACCAAAAUCCAAUGUCUUCAAGACGCCAUACUGGUAACGUCCAAUCAACGUCCAAUUAUAACGUCAUUUGACUUUGAUCUUUAGUUUGUUUUUAGGUUGUGACAUUAACUAACCUAAACCCAACGUCGAGCCAACGUCUCAGGCCAACGUCACAUUGACAUCAAAUACUGAUGUUU